Molecule: non-coding RNA, 107 nt
Organism: Mycena rebaudengoi
Lineage: Eukaryota; Fungi; Basidiomycota; Agaricomycetes; Agaricales; Mycenaceae
Source: the annotation of a GenBank genome assembly
GGCCUGAUGGUCUAGUAGUAUGAUUCCUUGUUAGGGCUUUCACGUGAUGAAAAUUACGUAAGCAGCGUUCGAGACAGAGGUCCCGGGUUCAAUUCUCGGUUAGGCCC